This 1371-nucleotide long non-coding RNA is filed under the name Cyanistes caeruleus (blue tit). RNAcentral describes it as "lncRNA (ENSCCEG00000006164.1)". The record is from RNAcentral. Lineage: Eukaryota; Metazoa; Chordata; Aves; Passeriformes; Paridae.
AUGUGUCCCCAGCUGAUGGGAUGGCUGUGGCCACAGCAGAGCUGUGUUGUGCUGCCAGUUGCCUGGAAAAAUGAGGGGGAAAAACCCAAAACUAAACAAAGCAAGCAGGAAAAACUCACCCAGGCAGGCAGCAGUGGGCAGUGUACACUCUGUGUGUGUGUGUGUGUACAUUGUGUGUGUGUGUGUGUGUGUGUGUGUGUGUGUGUGUGUACACUCUGUGUGUGUGUAAGUUGUGUGUGUGUACACUCUGUGUGUGUGUACACUCUGUGUGUGUGUGUGUACAAUGUGUGUGUGUGUAUUGUGUGUGUGUGUGUGUGUACACUGUGUAUGUUAUGUACACUCUGUGUGUGUACACUGUGUGUUAUGUACAUUGUAUGUGUUAUGUACACUGUGUGUACACUGUGUGUGUGUGUGUGUACACUGUGUGUGUUAUGCACACUCUGUGUGUGUGUUAUGUACACUCUGUGUGUACACUGUGUGUGUGUGUACAUUGUAUGUGUUAUGUACACUGUGUGUGUGUACACUGUGUGUGUUAUGUACACUCUGUGUGUAUGUACACUGUGUGUGUGUGUGUGUUAUGUACACUCUGUGUGUAUGUACACUCUCUGUGUGUGUGUGUUAUGUACACUUACACUCUGUGUGUGUGUACACUGUGUGUGUGUGUGUGUUAUGUACACUCUGUGUGUGUGUACAUUGUGUGUGUUAUGUACACUCUGUGUGUACACUGUGUGUGUUAUGUACAUUGUAUGUGUUAUGUACACUGUGUGUGUGUACACUGUGUGUGUGUGUGUGUGUUAUGUACAUUCUGUGUGUGUGUACACUGUGUGUGUGUCUGUGUGUUAUGUACACUCUGUGUGUGUGUACACUGUGUGUCUGUGUGUUAUGUACAUUCUGUGUGUGUGUACACUGUGUGUGUGUGUCUGUGUGUUAUGUACACUCUGUGUGUGUGUACACUGUGUGUCUGUGUGUUAUGUACACUCUGUGUGUGUGUACACUGUGUGUCUGUGUGUUAUGUACACUCUGUGUGUGUGUACACUUGUGUGUCUGUGUGUUAUGUACACUCUCUCUGUGUGUACUCGUGCAUGGUUUGCCCUCCCCAAGCUUUGUGCUCCACGGGCAGCCCUGCGUGUGCUUCCAGCAAAGCCACCAGCUCCAUCAGCACACCCAGCCACGGGCUCCCUUGGCAGUCUGGGUGGGAUGUGGAGGUGGCUUUGCCAGUGGGAUGCUGAUGUUGGUGUAAUCCUGGAAUUGUGUAGGUUGGAACAGAUCUCCAGGGCCAUCAAGUCCAACCCUGAGCCGGCACUGCCGUGUCCACCACUGAGCCACGUCCAUGGUGUGGCUCAGCAGAGCCUGGCUUGGUGCUGUAGUUGA